This 403-nucleotide ribosomal RNA is filed under the name uncultured bacterium. RNAcentral's name for it is "bacterial SSU rRNA". It matches the Rfam family "Bacterial small subunit ribosomal RNA", at positions 1031 to 1434 of the family's 1533-position model. The record is from RNAcentral.
AUACAAGGUGCUGCAUGGCUGUCGUCAGCUCGUGCCGUGAGGUGUUGGGUUAAGUCCUAUAACGAGCGAAACCCUUUUACUUAAUUGCCAGCACGUAAUGGUGGGGACUUUAAGUAGACUGCCCGUGUAAGCGGGAGGAAGGAGAGGACGAGGUCAAGUCAUCAUGGCCUUUAUGCCCAGGGCUACACACGUACUACAAUGGCAUGUACAAAGGGAAGCUACUUGGUAACAGGAUGCAAAUCUCAAAAGCAUGUCUCAGUUCGGAUUGAGGUCUGCAAUUCGACCUCAUGAAGUUGGAAUCGCUAGUAAUCGCGUAUCAGCAAUGACGCGGUGAAUACGUUCUCGGACCUUGUACACACCGCCCAUCAAGCCAUGGGAGUUGGUAGAGCUUGAGAACAGUGGC